This is a long non-coding RNA of Ooceraea biroi (clonal raider ant), 1103 nucleotides long. RefSeq lists it as uncharacterized. The record is from RefSeq and is a predicted model, not a curated record. Lineage: Eukaryota; Metazoa; Arthropoda; Insecta; Hymenoptera; Formicidae.
CUCUCUCUCUCUCUCUCUCUCGUUCGGCCCGCUCGCUCACGCGCGUGCGCCCUUUCCUUCUCCCUUUCUCUCCCUCCGUCCUCGCUCCCUCGAACGUCGAGCGGUGACGGCGACUUCUAUCGCGCGCGAGCGCGCUCACUCGCGAGUGAAAAGCGUGACGACCGAGUGGAACAUAUAUGGCACGCAGUGCCGGGUUUGGAUCCACGUGGCCCCUGGGUUGUGGGGGUUGUGUGCGAUCCGUUCCCUUUGCAGAAUAAAAUUGAAUGUCAGAGAUGCAUCGUUUCCCUUAAAACGGUAGGACCUGUCGUAAAACAAAGCUCCGGAUUACACCUUGUUUGUUUAUAUGUAUAUAGAUGUAUAUAAUUGGAUCGAAUGGUGUCGCUUCAUUGAUACAUCUGUGAUUUUUCUCUAAUUUCUUCAUUGUUAUUCCCCUUCUUCCUCUUUUCCAUUCGUUUUCUAUCCUUUUCGUUUCAAUUUCUAUAUCGAUUUCGAAAUUCCUUACGAUUUGUUUCAGGGGGGUUGUGGCAGCCCUUCGUCGUCCUUUUCGCUCCACAUUUGUGAUUAACAUCGCUACAUAUAUACGCGCAUACACAGAGGCACGCGCGGCGCGCGAUCACAUAAGUGCGCCUGGGGUGCCGUUACAUGGAGCGUAACUUGCGUAAGCGUAACCUGCGUAACCUAGUAAUUUUAUAGAAGUUACUAUAAAACUUACGCCUAGUUAGUUUACGCUUUCUACGCCAGUUGUCAAUUACGCCGAUCCAAUUUCUGGUGGAAAAUACGCUAAAUGCAUGGUGUGCGACAGUGUGUGUGUAUCCUUUUUUGACUCGCGAUCGCCGUGCCAAAAUUUCUGAAAAAAUGGAUCAAAUUCGGCUUACUGCAGCUUAUACAUUUUCACUUAUGUAUUUCCUUUUUAAAAUACAGCAUAAAUGUGGGUAUUGUGGGUGGCUCUUUAGCUUCGCCACAAAUUUUAUUGAUCAUAAGUGCUUCAAGCAGUACGUUGAAGGAGAAGACCACAUCAGCAUCGAUGAAAACCAUAUCGUAACAAUAAGUAUAAUUUGUUGGCAAGAACCGCUAAUACAAGAUUAGAAUCCAUGUUUAAGAGA